This 437-nucleotide ribosomal RNA is filed under the name uncultured bacterium. RNAcentral's name for it is "bacterial SSU rRNA". It matches the Rfam family "Bacterial small subunit ribosomal RNA", at positions 42 to 477 of the family's 1533-position model. The record is from RNAcentral.
UCAGGCCUAACACAUGCAAGUCGAAGGGGAAGCAAGGAGCUUGCUCUUUGUGGAGACUGCGGAUGGGUGAGUAACGCGUGGACAACCUGCCUAUGACAGGGGGAUAACUUCGGGAAAUCGGAGCUAAUACCCCAUGAUGCAGCGGCCCCGCAUGGGGACAGUUGUUAAAGCCUUCGGGCGGUUAUAGAUGGGUNUGCGUGCUAUUAGNUAGUUGGUAAGGUAACGNCUUACCAAGGCGAUGAUAGCUAGGGGGUCUGAGAGGAUGAUCCCCCACACUGGGANUGAGACACGGCCCAGACUCNUACGGGAGGCAGCAGUGAGGAAUCUUGCGCAAUGGAGGAAACUCUGACGCAGCCACGCCGCGUGCCGGAAGACGGCCCNGUUGUAAACGGCUUUUGUUUGGGAAGAACUGGUNGGUUUCGACCUACCUGACAGAA